RNAcentral lists this ribosomal RNA (216 nucleotides) under Ornithodoros tholozani. Its description in RNAcentral is "partial 16S ribosomal RNA". Lineage: Eukaryota; Metazoa; Arthropoda; Arachnida; Ixodida; Argasidae. The record is from RNAcentral.
UGGGACAAGAAGACCCUAUGAAUUUGUUUAAAGUAAUUUAAUUGACUUUAAUUAUUUUAUUUUGAUUGGUUGGGGUGAUUUUUUAAGAUUAAGCAUCUUAAAAAGAAGUUUAUUAGGCCCAUUAAUAAUGAGGAUUUGAAUAAAAUACUCUAGGGAUAACAGCGUAAUAAUUUUGGAUAGUUCAUAUAGAUAAAAUAGUUUGCGACCUCGAUGUUG